Long non-coding RNA from Mauremys reevesii (Reeves's turtle), 277 nucleotides. RefSeq lists it as uncharacterized. NCBI's taxonomy places the organism in Eukaryota, Metazoa, Chordata, Testudines, Geoemydidae. The record is from RefSeq and is a predicted model, not a curated record. The transcript is spliced from 3 exons.
CUGUCAACUAGUCACUUCAGCACAGCUAAGAAGAAAAAUACCGUGGAACCUGCUAAUGGGGAUUGACUCACCGGGGGUCGAUUUAGCGGGUCUUUAGAUCAACCGCCGAUUGCUCGCCCAUUGACUCUGAUACUCCACCAGAGCAAGAAGCAUAAGGAGGAGAUGUGAUCCAGCAGGAUUAGAGCAGUGGACUCAGGAAUCAGGACUCCUAGAAUUUUUACCAUGGACUCAUAGGACCUUAGGCAAGUUACAGGACUUUCUGUCCAAGGGGGGCUCC